AGCGGCGGACGGGUUAGUAACGCGUGGGAAUAUACCCUUUACUACGGAAUAGCCUCGGGAAACUGAGAGUAAUACCGUAUACGCCCUUCGGGGGAAAGAUUUAUCGGUAAAGGAUUAGCCCGCGUCUGAUUAGAUAGUUGGUGGGGUAAUGGCCUACCAAGUCUACGAUCAGUAGCUGGUUUGAGAGGAUGAUCAGCAACACUGGGACUGAGACACGGCCCAGACUCCUACGGGAGGCAGCAGUGGGGAAUCUUAGACAAUGGGCGCAAGCCUGAUCUAGCCAUGCCGCGUGAGUGACGAAGGCCUUAGGGUCGUAAAGCUUUUUCGCCAGGGAAGAUAAUGACUGUACCUGGUAAAGAAACCCCGGCUAACUCCGUGCCAGCAGCCGCGGUAAUACGGAGGGGGUUAGCGUUGUUCGGAAUUACUGGGCGUAAAGCGCACGUAGGCGGAUCAGAAAGUAAGAGGUGAAAUCCCAGGGCUCAACCCUGGAACUGCCUUUUAAACUCCUGGUCUUGAGUUCGAGAGAGGUGAGUGGAAUUCCGAGUGUAGAGGUGAAAUUCGUAGAUAUUCGGAGGAACACCAGUGGCGAACGCGGCUCACUGGCUCGAUACUGACGCUGAGUGCGAAGCGUGGGGAGCAACAGGAUUAGAUACCCUGUUAGUCAACGUCGA
This 671-nucleotide ribosomal RNA is filed under the name uncultured bacterium. RNAcentral describes it as "bacterial SSU rRNA". It matches the Rfam family "Bacterial small subunit ribosomal RNA", at positions 94 to 803 of the family's 1533-position model. The record is from RNAcentral.